RNAcentral lists this transfer RNA (73 nucleotides) under Paramuricea clavata. It matches the Rfam family "tRNA". From Rfam's summary of the family: Transfer RNA (tRNA) molecules are approximately 80 nucleotides in length. The record is from Rfam by way of RNAcentral. Lineage: Eukaryota; Metazoa; Cnidaria; Anthozoa; Malacalcyonacea; Plexauridae.
GACCGCGUAGUUCAGUUGGCAGAGCAUUGGGCUAGUAUUCCAAAGGUCGUAGGUUCGACUCCCAUCGUGGCCA